Molecule: small nuclear RNA, 104 nt
Organism: Artibeus jamaicensis (Jamaican fruit-eating bat)
Lineage: Eukaryota; Metazoa; Chordata; Mammalia; Chiroptera; Phyllostomidae
Source: RefSeq, a predicted model, not a curated record
GUGCUCAUUUCAGCAGCAUGUAUAAUAAAAUGGGAACAGUACAGAGACUAACACGGCCCCUGCACGAGAAUGACAUGCAGAUUCGUGAAGUGUUCCAUAGGAAG